RNAcentral lists this long non-coding RNA (1235 nucleotides) under Struthio camelus australis. RNAcentral describes it as "lncRNA (ENSSCUG00000011470.1)". Lineage: Eukaryota; Metazoa; Chordata; Aves; Struthioniformes; Struthionidae. The record is from RNAcentral.
AUGGAUGUUUAUUAUAUUCCUUUUAGAUCUCCUUUUGGCAGCUGGAUGAGAAGGGCAUGCCACCAUAAAGGAGGGAUCACUGAAACGAGGUUAAAGUUGUAUUCAAAAGCAACACCAGUGCUGUACGUUGCACGUAUCACCACUAUUGAGGGUCAAUACCUCUUCCCUGGAGUCACUGUCAGAGUUCUAGAACUGCAUUUGGGGAAAUCAAGAACUGAAUACGUUCCUUUUUUAUUUCUGCUCAUUUUCAGGGUGGUUCUUCCCAAACAGAGUUGAGCAGCCAGGUUACGUUUCUUGAAGAGUUGGGCCUAGCAAUAUGGCAGCGCACGUUCGAUAAGAAACCCCGUAAAGCGCUGCCCCUGAGGGCAUCAGAGGAGGAUAUUGAGAGUAAUCUGGACAUAGCAGCUUUCUUCCAAGGAUCUCAAAACACUCUAAGGACAUGCUUUUCUCUGCAACCUUCCUCUCACUCCAUUUCUAUGAGAACUCUUCCUGCAAAUUGGGUCCCUAAGAGGAUUAGUGAAGGGGAUACCAAUUUAUUUAUACCCACCUCAGCGUGGCAGCAGACAGACAUUGUAAGUUGCUGGAUUAUUAAAUGGUUUGUAACAUGUGAAAGAAGCUUCCUUCUUCUAGUGCAGUUCAGAGUGGACAGGUGUCUACAUCACAGCCACUCUGAACUGACCCCCAGCUCCUGCAUUUUUUUCUCUUCUUAACCUGUUCACGCUGGCAAUACAAAUGGACAUGCUGAGGAGACUAAGUGGACUACAGAGAUUCAGUCCCUUCAAGUGUGAGAUAGACUGCUGUAGGGAUACAUUAUUGCUAUGUUGUAGAUGCACAUUAUUGCUGUUCUCAGGGCAAAGAUGCCUUUGGUCACCACGGAAAAGUUUUCAGGCAUCUUUCCGUUGCACUUAGUACACUGGAAAAAAAAAAAAAUACAGAAUGAGGGAGAGAGAUAAGAAGCCAGGAGAAAACCCUCAAGCUUUCUCUGCUUACACUUCCGAUUCUGGAUAGCUACAGUGCCAAGCGAUAUUGCCAUUUCAGUCGUCUUCUACUGUGCCUGGCUUGAAUGAUCCCAAAGGAGCAAGCGGAGGUAAAUAUACGGCUAUGAUCAAAAGAGAGUAAAGCCUCUAUUAUUUGUGCCAGCCUACAGGCGCUUAGGUUUUGGAAUCUGAGUCUUUGAAAAACAAGGUUACUUGGAGCUCUAGUAAAUAAAGUGUCUGGAUGUUAGUGGUGAUUCA